Long non-coding RNA from Helianthus annuus (common sunflower), 1083 nucleotides. RefSeq lists it as uncharacterized. The transcript is spliced from 4 exons. Lineage: Eukaryota; Viridiplantae; Streptophyta; Magnoliopsida; Asterales; Asteraceae. The record is from RefSeq and is a predicted model, not a curated record.
AACCUAAAACUCUCCUUUAUAGUUUUUUCCCCAAUUUCUUAGGUUAUUUUUCAUUUAUAAACAAGUUAAAUGCCAGAGUACCCGUUUAGAAUUUUUAUCAAAGCAAAACCCUAAAUCGCUCUCUCUUAUUUCACAGCUGACGCCCCACAGAUUCCGCCGUCCAGUUUCUAUCCACCGCCAGUUGCAUCAACGACGGAGUUUUGUUCAACAGUUUGGAGCUCUACUCUACAAUGAUAUGGAGUUGCACUCUACAAUGAAAGGCAUACAAACACUAAUAUGUACAAGUGGACUAUACUACUUUCAUAAAAAGGGUGAUUCUGUUGCAACCCGGAACCACUAUCAGUUUAAAAGUUGUAUCUCCAUCUUCGGACUCUAAAGGCGAAAAUCUCACUAAGAUAACAUUCACUUCGACUGAUAAGACCAACACAACUAAAACAAUGUUUACCCUUCGUUUCAUUCAUUCUGGGGGUUGUCUAUUUCAUUGAGAGGUGUUUUGGGGAGGGAUUCCUUGCCACCAUCUUGGUGGAUGGAAUCUCAAACACAAUUAAUGACAUCAGCCUCUUUGGCUUCCUUAAAAAUGUCUCAUCCUUCCCAAACAAAACCAAUGUGUUGAAGUUCAUUCCUGUUUUCAAUCUUGCUACGAAGGCCUUGAUGUUGUUUGUUCUUCUAAAGGUGCUUAACACGCCGUCAUUUGUAGCCGUUGAUGGGAAAGAGUUGGUUGUGGUCGAGAGGGAGGAAGGCUGGUGGAGAUGAGAAACCCGCUGAUGAGAGGCCCACUGAUGAGAAGCCCGCUGAUAAGAAGUGAUUUUAGUAUUCAUUGUGAAGGUAUACUUUGAACAUUGCGACGUUUAGAGUUUUUGGUUGAUUUCUUACUCGGAAUACAUUUCUAACAUUUAGAGUUUUUGGUUGGUUUCCUACUUAGAAUAUAUUUUUAGUGUAAAACAUGUGUUUGCAAUCUGUGGUGAGUUUCUCAGCGCCUUGCCCAGGCGCGUAUUCUGCUAAAAUCCCGUCUAAUGUAUACUUCGAUCUAAAAUGACAAUAACGCUAAGAGAAAUACACAGGUGCACUUAAUUGUUGAUCAAA